RNAcentral lists this transfer RNA (22 nucleotides) under Ranunculus flammula. RNAcentral describes it as "partial tRNA-His". Lineage: Eukaryota; Viridiplantae; Streptophyta; Magnoliopsida; Ranunculales; Ranunculaceae. The record is from RNAcentral.
UUCAAUUCCCGUCGUUCGCCCA